CCUGACAGAGGAUGGAGGGAUAAUGUCCUGACAGAGGAUGGAGGGAUAAUGUCCUGACAGAGGAUGGAGGGAUAAUGUCCUGACAGAGGAUGGAGGGAUAAUGUCCUGACAGAGGAUGGAGGGAUAAUGUCCUGACAGAAGGAUAGAGGGAUAAUGUCCUGACAGAGGAUGGAGGGAUAAUGUCCUGACAGAAUGAUGGAGGGAUAAUGUCCUGACAGAGGAUUGAGGGAUAAUGUCCUGACAGAGGAUGGAGGGAUAAUGUCCUGACAGAAUGAUAGAGGGAUAAUGUCCUGACAGAGGAUGGAGGGAUAAUGUCCUGACAGAAGGAUAGAGGGAUAAUGUCCUGACAGAGGAUGGAGGGAUAAUGUCCUGACAGAAUGAUAGAGGGAUAAUGUCCUGACAGAGAUAAAGCUGAUUGUGAUUUCAUAAAUAGAAAAGCAGUGGUAUAUUAUUUAGUUGUAUCAUUUUG
This is a long non-coding RNA of Oncorhynchus keta (chum salmon), 469 nucleotides long. RefSeq lists it as uncharacterized. Lineage: Eukaryota; Metazoa; Chordata; Actinopteri; Salmoniformes; Salmonidae. The record is from RefSeq and is a predicted model, not a curated record. The transcript is spliced from 3 exons.